RNAcentral lists this ribosomal RNA (441 nucleotides) under uncultured bacterium. RNAcentral's name for it is "partial 16S ribosomal RNA". It matches the Rfam family "Bacterial small subunit ribosomal RNA", at positions 338 to 795 of the family's 1533-position model. The record is from RNAcentral.
CCUACGGGAGGCAGCAGUGGGGGAUAUUGCACAAUGGGGGGAACCCUGAUGCAGCGACGCCGCGUGGGUGAAGGAGUGCUUCGGCAUGUAAAGCCCUAUCGGCAGGGAAGAAGCAAGACGGUACCUGAAUAAGAAGCCCCGGCUAACUACGUGCCAGCAGCCGCGGUAAUACGUAGGGGGCGAGCGUUAUCCGAAUUCACUGGGUGGAAAGGGAGCGUAGACGGCCAUGCAAGCCAGGGGUGAAAGCCCGGGGCCCAACCCCGGGACUGCCCGUGGAACUGCAUGGUUGGAGUGCGGGGGGGGCAGGCGGAAUUCCUGGUGUCGCGGGGAAAUGCGGUGAUGUCAGGGGGAACACCGGCGGCGAAGGCGGCCUGCUGGACCGCGACUGACGUGGGGGCUCGAAAGCGUGGGGAGCGAACAGGAUUAGAUACCCUGGUAGUC